Molecule: long non-coding RNA, 1145 nt
Organism: Rhododendron vialii
Lineage: Eukaryota; Viridiplantae; Streptophyta; Magnoliopsida; Ericales; Ericaceae
Exons: 2
Source: RefSeq, a predicted model, not a curated record
UUGUGAUUGAGGGGAUAGACCAUCACAAGUAUUACUUAUCUAAAUACGGGUCACCUGAGAAAACAUGGACAGUUGACUAUCAUCCAGCGGAUAAUCAAAUGAUGUGUUCUUGCUUGAAAUUCGAAUCGUUUGGCAUACCCUGCUGCCACAUGAUUUGUGUUAUGAAAUUAAACUAUCUAUUGUGUAUUCCUCAGAAUUGUGUCUUGCAGAGGUGGGCGAGGCAACAUAGGCCUAACCAUCAGGUACAUAGUCAUAGCAAAAUUGAUACUACACUAACUCAGACAGCACGUUACGGUAUAUUAAGCUCACUUUUCAACGAGGUGUCGUAUUAUGCCUCACACACUGACUUGGAUUUCAAAGAGGCUAGGGAAGUAGCCGUCCAGUUUUUGUGGAAGUUGAAGAAACGCCAGGAAAUGACAAAGGAGGAUAACCUCAACAGUGUUCAAGGAAAUAAGAAGACCAAGCUGUUUGGUAUUGGGGAUCCUAAUAUAGUCAAAACCAAAGGUAAUCCGGGGGGGAACUCUUCUAUGGGCAAACCCAAAAGGCCAAGGACAUGUGGAAGGUGCAAGGUUCCAGGCCACACAAAGAGAACAUGUCCAAAAUUUCCUUUAGCUAGCCGAGGAGUGGAUAGUAUCUCUAUCGAUAAGAAUGACUACCAACCAUCGGCGACACACUGUCCUUCGGAGGACGGCUAUCCAACUCCUCCUCCUUCCCCUUUUACACAAACAGGAUGUUAAAGGAAGUCAACAGGUCCUGCUAUGAUUCAUCGUGUGAAAAGGCAACUUUACACUAACCAUGAGCGUACAGAUCUAACUCCUUUGGAGUUAGGACAUGGCAUCAAUAGAGCAACGGCAAGUCGUGAUGCUCAAGUGUGCCAAAAUGUAUCAUUCAGAAUUAGUGAAGCUAGUAAGGAAGAUGAAGAAGGAGCUGCAACAAAUGGAGCCAUCCAGUCAAGUUCUAGUGUCUUUUAGGUGGCAUUAUCUUGCCGUUAUGGUGUCUUAUGAGUUAUUUUAGCUUUUUUAACUGCUUCAUUGAGUUUGGGCAUGUAGACUAGCUUAUCAAUGCUUGUUAAGUUUUUGAUACUGCGUGGCAUAAUUGGUGAAAUGGAUUUUUGUUUGACUAUUUAGUGGAGUUCGAAUGGCUGA